Molecule: ribosomal RNA, 253 nt
Filed under: uncultured bacterium
Lineage: Bacteria
Description: partial 16S ribosomal RNA
Rfam family: Bacterial small subunit ribosomal RNA
Source: RNAcentral
UACAGAGGGGGCAAGCGUUGUUCGGAAUUACUGGGCGUAAAGGGCGCGUAGGCGGCCUGCUAAGUCGAACGUGAAAUCCCUGGGCUCAACCCAGGAACUGCGUCCGAUACUGGUUGGCUUGAAUCCGGGAGAGGGACGUGGAAUUCCAGGUGUAGCGGUGAAAUGCGUAGAGAUUGGGAAGAACACCAGUGGCGAAGGCGGCUAUCUGGACGGUUUCUGACACUAAGACUCGAAAGCAUGGGGAGCAAACAGG